This 468-nucleotide ribosomal RNA is filed under the name uncultured bacterium. RNAcentral's name for it is "partial 16S ribosomal RNA". It matches the Rfam family "Bacterial small subunit ribosomal RNA", at positions 28 to 507 of the family's 1533-position model. The record is from RNAcentral.
GACGAACGCUGGCGGCGUGCUUAACACAUGCAAGUCGAACGGAAAGGCCCUGCUUUUGUGGGGUGCUCGAGUGGCGAACGGGUGAGUAACACGUGAGUAACCUGCCCUUGACUUUGGGAUAACUUCAGGAAACUGGGGCUAAUACCGGAUAGGAGCUCCUGCUGCAUGGUGGGGGUUGGAAAGUUUCGGCGGUUGGGGAUGGACUCGCGGCUUAUCAGCUUGUUGGUGGGGUAGUGGCUUACCAAGGCUUUGACGGGUAGCCGGCCUGAGAGGGUGACCGGCCACAUUGGGACUGAGGUACGGACCAGACUCCUACGGGAGGCAGCAGUGGGGAAUAUUGCACAAUGGGCGGAAGCCUGAUGCAGCAACGCCGCGUGCGGGAUGACGGCCUUCGGGUUGUAAACCGCUUUCGCAUGUGACGAAGCGUGAGUGACGGUAAUGGGUAAAGAAGCACCGGCUAACUACGUG